This 209-nucleotide non-coding RNA is filed under the name Onchocerca ochengi. RNAcentral's name for it is "Eukaryotic large subunit ribosomal RNA". It matches the Rfam family "Eukaryotic large subunit ribosomal RNA", at positions 967 to 1170 of the family's 3401-position model. The record is from Rfam by way of RNAcentral. Lineage: Eukaryota; Metazoa; Nematoda; Chromadorea; Rhabditida; Onchocercidae.
UUUCUUUCAGAACAGCUGGAAUACAUAAUGAAGCUCUUUAUUUGGUAAAGCGAAUGAUUAGAGGAAUUGUGGGACGAAAUGUUUUCAAUCUGUUUAAAAACUUCCAAUGAGUGUGACGUCUCGUUGCUUGAAUGAAACGUAGACAUUGAAUGUGUGCUCCAAAUGAGUUGUUUUUAGUAAGUAAAACUGGUGUAUUGUGGGAUGCUCCA